This 508-nucleotide ribosomal RNA is filed under the name uncultured bacterium. RNAcentral describes it as "partial 16S ribosomal RNA". It matches the Rfam family "Bacterial small subunit ribosomal RNA", at positions 899 to 1397 of the family's 1533-position model. The record is from RNAcentral.
ACUCAAAGGAAUUGACGGGGGCCUGCACAAGCGGUGGAGUAUGUGGCUUAAUUCGAUGCAACGCGAAGAACCUUACCUGGCCUUGACAUGCAUUUGGUAGAACCAUGAAAGUGGGACGACCCCGCAAGGGGAGGAUGCACAGGUGCUGCAUGGCUGUCGUCAGCUCGUGUCGUGAGAUGUUGGGUUAAGUCCCGCAACGAGCGCAACCCUUGUGUCCUGUUGCCACCUCUUCGAGAGAAGAGAGCACUCUGGACAGACUGCCUCGCUUAAACGGGGAGGAAGGUGGGGAUGACGUCAAGUCAGUAUGGCCCUUACGGCCAGGGCUGCACACGUACUACAAUGCCCGGUACAAAGGGAAGCAAGACCGUCAGGUGGAGCAAAUCCCAGAAAACCGGGCCCAGUUCAGAUUGCCGUCUGCAACUCGACGGCAUGAAGUUGGAAUCGCUAGUAAUGGCGCAUCAGCUACGGCGCCGUGAAUACGUUCCCAGGCCUUGUACACACCGCCCGU